GAAAAGUGAAUUCUAUUUUGAUUCUGUCCUCUGAUUAGAUGCUUAAGUGGCAUGACAUUUGAAUAUGAUUAGCAUGAAUUUCUUUUCUAGCAUGCCGUUAUACGUGUUCAAACCUGCUGUGUGCACUUUUUUCUGAUAAACCUCUUAAAGAUAUUUACCCCCUCUUGAUAAAAACUUCCUCACAAUUUUUUUUAACCUUUUUAGAAAGCAAAC
RNAcentral lists this unclassified non-coding RNA (213 nucleotides) under Hevea brasiliensis (rubber tree). The record is from RNAcentral. Lineage: Eukaryota; Viridiplantae; Streptophyta; Magnoliopsida; Malpighiales; Euphorbiaceae.